Molecule: ribosomal RNA, 251 nt
Filed under: uncultured Erythrobacteraceae bacterium
Lineage: Bacteria; Pseudomonadati; Pseudomonadota; Alphaproteobacteria; Sphingomonadales; Erythrobacteraceae
Description: partial 16S ribosomal RNA
Rfam family: Bacterial small subunit ribosomal RNA
Source: RNAcentral
UACGGAGGGAGCUAGCGUUGUUCGGAAAUACUGGGCGUAAAGCGCGCGUAGGCGGCUUUUCAAGUCAGGGGUGAAAUCCCGGGGCUCAACCUCGGAACUGCCCUUGAAACUGGAGAGCUAGAAUCUUGGAGAGGUCAGUGGAAUUCCGAGUGUAGAGGUGAAAUUCGUAGAUAUUCGGAAGAACACCAGUGGCGAAGGCGACUGACUGGACAAGUAUUGACGCUGAGGUGCGAAAGCGUGGGGAGCAAACA